This 460-nucleotide ribosomal RNA is filed under the name uncultured bacterium. RNAcentral's name for it is "partial 16S ribosomal RNA". It matches the Rfam family "Bacterial small subunit ribosomal RNA", at positions 338 to 795 of the family's 1533-position model. The record is from RNAcentral.
CCUACGGGUGGCAGCAGUGAGGAAUAUUGGUCAAUGGCCGGAAGGCUGAACCAGCCAUGCCGCGUGAAGGUCAGUGCCCUAUGGGCGUUAAACUUCUUUUGUGCGGGAGCAAUAAUGGUCACGUGUGGCCAGACGAGAGUACCGUACGAAUAAGCAUCGGCUAACUCCGUGCCAGCAGCCGCGGUAAUACGGGGGAUGCAAGCGUUAUCCGGAUUUAUUGGGUUUAAAGGGUGCGUAGGCUGUGAGGUAAGUCAGCGGUGAAAUGCCCCGGCUCAACGGGGUGAAGUGCCAUUGAUACUGCCUGGCUGGAAUGCGGAUGCCGUGGGAGGAAUGUGUGGUGUAGCGGUGAAAUGCAUAGAUAUCACACAGAACACCGAUUGCGAAGGCAUCUCACGAAUCCGCGAUUGACGUCGAUGCACGAAAGCGUGGGUAUCAAACAGGAUUAGAUACCCGGGUAGUC